AUACGGAGGGUGCAAGCGUUACUCGGAAUCACUGGGCGUAAAGCGCGCGCAGGCGGCUAUUUAAGUUGGAUGUGAAAGCCUACGGCUCAACCGUAGAACUGCAUCCAAAACUAUUUAGCUAGAGUGUGGGAGAGGAAGAUGGAAUUAGUUGUGUAGGGGUAAAAUCCGUAGAGAUAACUAGGAAUACCAAAAGCGAAGGCAAUCUUCUGGAACACUACUGACGCUUAGGCGCGAAAGCGUGGGGAGCAAACGGGAUUAGAAACCCCAGUAGUCC
This 274-nucleotide ribosomal RNA is filed under the name uncultured bacterium. Its description in RNAcentral is "partial 16S ribosomal RNA". It matches the Rfam family "Bacterial small subunit ribosomal RNA", at positions 523 to 796 of the family's 1533-position model. The record is from RNAcentral.